Molecule: ribosomal RNA, 434 nt
Filed under: uncultured Lachnospiraceae bacterium
Lineage: Bacteria; Bacillati; Bacillota; Clostridia; Lachnospirales; Lachnospiraceae
Description: partial 16S ribosomal RNA
Rfam family: Bacterial small subunit ribosomal RNA
Source: RNAcentral
ACGGGAGGCAGCAGUAGGGAAUAUUGCACAAUGGGGGAAACCCUGAUGCAGCGACGCCGCGUGAGCGAUGAAGUAUUUCGGUAUGUAAAGCUCUAUCAGCAGGGAAGAUAAUGACGGUACCUGACUAAGAAGCCCCGGCUAACUACGUGCCAGCAGCCGCGGUAAUACGUAGGGGGCAAGCGUUAUCCGGAUUUACUGGGUGUAAAGGGAGUGUAGAUGGCAUGGCAAGUCAGAUGUGAAAGCUCGGGGCUCAACCCCGGAACUGCAUUUGAAACUGUCAAGCUGGAGUGCAGGAGAGGAAAGUGGAAUUCCUAGUGUAGCGGUGAAAUGCGUAGAUAUUAGGAGGAACACCAGUGGCGAAGGCGGCUUACUGGACGAUAACUGACGUUGAGGCUCGAAAGCGUGGGGAGCAAACAGGAUUAGAUACCCUGGUA